RNAcentral lists this transfer RNA (58 nucleotides) under Salmo trutta (river trout). It matches the Rfam family "tRNA", at positions 8 to 63 of the family's 71-position model. Rfam says of the family: Transfer RNA (tRNA) molecules are approximately 80 nucleotides in length. Their secondary structure includes four short double-helical elements and three loops (D, anti-codon, and T loops). The record is from Rfam by way of RNAcentral. Lineage: Eukaryota; Metazoa; Chordata; Actinopteri; Salmoniformes; Salmonidae.
UGGCUCAGUUGGUAGAGCAUGGUGUUUGCAAUGCCAGGGUUGUGGGUUCGAUUCCUAC